GCGAGGAAACUGAAGGCUUCCUUGACUCCAAGUGCAGCUCUUCCUAUACACGGUCCUUGUCCGCUCGUUUGGCCCUAGAUGCCUCCUAUCUGCGUCCGCUGAUGCUAAAUAUAGCUGUCUGUGGCUGGCUGCAUAUGCAAUCAUACACCCCAUCCUAUUUGCCAUAUCUCAGUUACAGAUACAGUUACUGUCCCUCCAGGGUCAUUCUAUGCACACACCACGCAGUUCCAGCCAACAAGACUGAAUCAAACAGAAAGGGAGACAAGCAGAGACAGAUUGGAGCCUGGCACAGGUACACAGGCAACACAUCAGGAAAAAAAGAAAGAAAAGAAACCAGCCUGUGGCUCAGUCUGCAUUUGUUGCAAACCUAGUCUUCCCUGGAGUGGGGGUGGAGGUUGCGGCUGCUGGAGAUCCCUCUGCCGCCUUCACCCCCUGCAGCGAAAUCUAGCAGCGAAGACCAGGAAAGUUAAGUUCAGGGAAGAUAGCGGUUCUUAGGGUGCGCGCGCGGUGUGAUGUUCCUAUAAGUGCCUGGAAGCUGCAGCCCCUGGUCCGAGGCUUCCAGCAGGUUUGCGAUGUCUAAGAACAGGGGAGACCAGUCUGCAAAGUUGGAGAGCCC
Molecule: long non-coding RNA, 616 nt
Filed under: Rattus norvegicus (Norway rat)
Lineage: Eukaryota; Metazoa; Chordata; Mammalia; Rodentia; Muridae
Description: long non-coding RNA NONRATT031358
Source: RNAcentral